This 492-nucleotide long non-coding RNA is filed under the name Mus musculus (house mouse). RNAcentral describes it as "long non-coding RNA chr1:10695122-10695614". Lineage: Eukaryota; Metazoa; Chordata; Mammalia; Rodentia; Muridae. The record is from RNAcentral.
AUAUCGCUGAACACUUUGGACGACCUGCAGUGAGCUGCGGCACCAGGUCUUGAUCAACCAGUUCAUGCAGGCCACAGGCGCAGCAAUUGCUGCAAGCAGCACACUGGCAGUUCGAGACUGCCCUAAGCGCGUUCUUUCAAGAAAGCAACAUUCUCAACAGUCACCGCCACCCGCAGAUGAUGUGUACCUCCAGCAGCACCCCUGCUACACCACUCAUCUUCCCUGAUGUGCUGGCCACGUUCUCCAAGCUUCGAACCUCUAAGGAACUGCAGAGCAGCAGCAGCAGCCCCAGGGCAGCUGUGGCCUGCAAACUCCCUGCAAACUUCAGCCCCUUCUGGGCCACAUCCCCACCCAAUCACUAGGUGCCCUGGAUCCCGCCCUCUUCCCCCAACACCUUCCAUCUCAACUGCCCACAGCCCACGUGCCCCCGCACCCAGCAUCACAGGGCGCGCCCCUCAGAAAGCCAUGGCCAUCCUGGAUGGCCAGAGAUGA